Nitrosococcus halophilus is the source of this 351-nucleotide non-coding RNA. It matches the Rfam family "Bacterial RNase P class A". Rfam says of the family: Ribonuclease P (RNase P) is a ubiquitous endoribonuclease, found in archaea, bacteria and eukarya as well as chloroplasts and mitochondria. Its best characterised activity is the generation of mature 5'-ends of tRNAs by cleaving the 5'-leader elements of precursor-tRNAs. Cellular RNase Ps are ribonucleoproteins. NCBI's taxonomy places the organism in Bacteria, Pseudomonadati, Pseudomonadota, Gammaproteobacteria, Chromatiales, Chromatiaceae. The record is from Rfam.
AGAGACGACUAGACAGCCGCGUUAUCUCUUGGGAUAGCGAGGAAAGUCCGGGCUCCACAGGGCAGGGUGCCAGGUAACGCCUGGGAGGCGUGAGCCUACGGAAAGUGCCGCAGAAAAUAUACCGCCUAAGCGCCUGCGGGUGCCGGUAAGGGUGAAAAGGUGCGGUAAGAGCGCACCGCGCGGGUGGCAACAUUCCGCGGCAGGGUAAACCCCACUCGGAGCAAGGCCAAAUAGAGGAACCAAGGUGUGGCCCGCACCGUUCCCGGGUAGGCCGCUUGAGAUGUACGGUGACGUGCAUCCUAGAUGAAUGGCUGUCCAUGACAGAACCCGGCUUAUCGGUCGUCUCAACCC